CAUCUGCGGAAAGCUUGCUUUUCAGCAGAUGCAUGAAUUGAUGACCGCCCACGAUAUGAGCAUGGAGUGCGAAGCACGGGAAUGCGAAUAUCGUGGAGAAUUGCGGAAGUGCGAAGCACGGAGCAAUCCGU
Molecule: small RNA, 131 nt
Filed under: bovine gut metagenome
Description: Clostridiales-1 RNA
Rfam family: Clostridiales-1 RNA
Source: RNAcentral